GAUGAACGCUGGCGGCGUGCUUAACACAUGCAAGUCGAACGGGAAUUAUUUUAUUGAACCUUCGGUCGAUUUAAUUUAAUUCUAGUGGCGGACGGGUGAGUAACGCGUGGGUAACCUGCCUUAUACAGGGGGAUAACAGUCAGAAAUGGCUGCUAAUACCGCAUAAGCGCACAGAGCUGCAUGGCUCAGUGUGAAAAACUCCGGUGGUAUAAGAUGGACCCGCGUUGGAUUAGCUGGUUGGUGGGGUAACGGCCCACCAAGGCGACGAUCCAUAGCCGGCCUGAGAGGGUGAACGGCCACAUUGGGACUGAGACACGGCCCAGACUCCUACGGGAGGCAGCAGUGGGGAACAUUGCACAAUGGGGGAAACCCUGAUGCAGCGACGCCGCGUGAAGGAAGAAGUAUCUCGGUAUGUAAACUUCUAUCAGCAGGGAAGAUAGUGACGGUACCUGACUAAGAAGCCCCGGCUAACUACGU
RNAcentral lists this ribosomal RNA (477 nucleotides) under uncultured bacterium. RNAcentral describes it as "partial 16S ribosomal RNA". It matches the Rfam family "Bacterial small subunit ribosomal RNA", at positions 28 to 506 of the family's 1533-position model. The record is from RNAcentral.